AGCCGGAUGGUGGAAUCGGUAGACACAAGGGAUUUAAAAUCCCUCGGCGUUCGCGCUGUGCGGGUUCAAGUCCCGCUCCGGGUACCA
This 87-nucleotide transfer RNA is filed under the name Escherichia coli. RNAcentral describes it as "tRNA-Leu". It matches the Rfam family "tRNA". From Rfam's summary of the family: Transfer RNA (tRNA) molecules are approximately 80 nucleotides in length. Their secondary structure includes four short double-helical elements and three loops (D, anti-codon, and T loops). The record is from RNAcentral. Lineage: Bacteria; Pseudomonadati; Pseudomonadota; Gammaproteobacteria; Enterobacterales; Enterobacteriaceae. RNAcentral also lists the same sequence under 2 other names.